CGCACAUUGCGCCCUUUGGUAUUCCGAGGGGCACGCCUGUUCGAGCGUCAUUUAAACCAUCAAGCAUAGCUUGGUUUUGAGCGAGGUCGAGCGACCCGCCCGUAACCCGUUGGCGGCACUGUCCGGCUUCAAGCGUAGCAGAAUUUUCGCUUCAGGAGCUUGUGGCAGCGCCUGCCAGGUGAAUUACCACCUAAAGUUUGACCUCGGAUCAGGUGGGGAUACCCGCUGAACUUAA
This 235-nucleotide unclassified non-coding RNA is filed under the name Dothideomycetes sp. Its description in RNAcentral is "partial contains 5.8S ribosomal RNA, internal transcribed spacer 2, and large subunit ribosomal RNA". Lineage: Eukaryota; Fungi; Ascomycota; Dothideomycetes. The record is from RNAcentral.